CCUACGGGGGGCAGCAGUAGGGAAUCUUCGGCAAUGGACGAAAGUCUGACCGAGCAACGCCGCGUGAGUGAAGAAGGUUUUCGGAUCGUAAAACUCUGUUGUUAGAGAAGAACAAGGAUGAGAGUAACUGUUCAUCCCUUGACGGUAUCUAACCAGAAAGCCACGGCUAACUACGUGCCAGCAGCCGCGGUAAUACGUAGGUGGCAAGCGUUGUCCGGAUUUAUUGGGCGUAAAGCGAGCGCAGGCGGUUUCUUAAGUCUGAGGUGAAAGCCCCCGGCUCAACCGGGGAGGGUCAUUGGAAACUGGGAGACUUGAGUGCAGAAGAGGAGAGUGGAAUUCCAUGUGUAGCGGUGAAAUGCGUAGAUAUAUGGAGGAACACCAGUGGCGAAGGCGGCUCUCUGGUCUGUAACUGACGCUGAGGCUCGAAAGCGUGGGGAGCAAACAGGAUUAGAUACCCCUGUAGU
RNAcentral lists this ribosomal RNA (464 nucleotides) under uncultured Enterococcaceae bacterium. RNAcentral's name for it is "partial 16S ribosomal RNA". It matches the Rfam family "Bacterial small subunit ribosomal RNA", at positions 338 to 794 of the family's 1533-position model. The record is from RNAcentral. Lineage: Bacteria; Bacillati; Bacillota; Bacilli; Lactobacillales; Enterococcaceae.